GGACAACGGAUUUUAUUAAACACUACUGGGGUUUAUACGGGUACUGAAAAACUGUGACUCUGUAGUACCCGACCAUCUGUUCCGCUGGACAGCGGCUGGUGGAGUCAGCAGCCGCCUCAGACACCUCUCCCGACUGCGGUCGUUCACUGUCUGUGGCGUAAACCCUGAGAUCAUCACCCUCCCUACUCCCAGGCCUUCCCCGUUUCAUUAUUUCUAUCAAAGGGAGUUGGGGCUGGGCCUGUGGGUGCACAGCACCUUGGACCUUCGGCUUCAUGGUGUCUUCCUUAUCUUCUCAGAACUUGGGCCCAGGUCACUUAGGUGUGUCAAUCACUUAGGAGCUAGUAUGACGUUUAUCAGCCCUAAAUUUACAGCCAUCUCCCUGCCCUUCAAGGCCGAAGACUGCCAGACGAGAGCAGGCCGCUUUCAGGGUUUGCAGGGCCGUUCAGCGGUGUUCACGGCGCUCCCCUCCAGACCCCUUGGCGCGGCAUCCGGAAGCCUUCCGUCGCUGUGUAAGCCCGCACCGCCGCGGAUUCCAGGGCCUCGCAGGACACACGCGUGACGGUCAGGGCACUACCCGCGCGGGGUCGCCCGUGCCCUCCCUCGUCCCAGCGCGCAGCAGCCACCAGCUCUCGGAACCGUGGGCUGGGCUGAGCGGGGCAGGCCCGGCAGGCCUGUCAGCCCGCGCGCCGCUCCCUGGCUCAGCUGCCCUGCCGGCCGCGCUCGCCUCUGCUAGCCCUGAAGUCCAUCCGCGCCCUGCUGCUCCAGGCCCGCGCCCCGCCCCUCCGGCUCGGAGCCGCCCCGGGGCGGUGGGAUGCAGGGAGGGCUCUCCGGAGGGGCCCGGAGUCCUGGCCCUCAGCCGCGGCCUCUAAGGCCGAACGAGGCUGCAAUCAGCAGAGGCCAAAUGAAAACAGCCCGCGGAGAGGGCGGAGGCGGGGACCGGGCAGCCGCGGGUCUCGAGGAGCGAGGAGCUGCGGGCAGAGGGCAGGUUGCGCUCCCCCCCGCCCUGCGCUCCCUCCGGGUUACCCUCGCUCGGGAGAGCCGGGUCCGGGCGGAAGUCGCAGGCGGGCGGCUCGGCGCUGCUGUUCCAGGUCUCCGCUUGGGAUGCGCGGCGGAGGCCAACGGCUGCGCGCGCCUUCCAGCCCUCGCGUCUCCUAGCAACGCAGGGCGGGGGCGUGGCUCGGUGGGCCCUGCCCUGCUCGCGCAAGCUCCGCUCACACGGGUGGCCCUCUGUGCGCACGCGCAAGGCGUGGGCGUGGCCACGGGGCUGCUUAGCCAAGUCGGAGGAGACCCAGAGACCCGAGGUUGGCUGGUGCGCGCCUGGCGCCUCGCGUCUGAGCUGGGGGGGGGGAGUAGAAGGUGCUGUUCGCUCCUGAAACCCCAGACCGAGUCCCUAAGAAAAUGGAUAAGAUCGCUGGGAUUGCUGGGACUCAACCUUCCAGGCCUCUCCCCCACUGAACAAGGAAAGAAGUUUAUCCUUCCGCACCCGCCCCUUCAGCAGAGGACACCUGAGGCCCUCUUUGUCCUGGCUUCCUUACUCGUCGCAGCAAAACCUCGGCUGUGCAGCCCUCACCCAAGCCCAGGCACCUGCAGCCCCCACUGCCUGUUGCGGUGGAACCUGGAGGUCUCCUGCCCUCGCGGCCCCAGUCCUCUGCACAGUCAGCGAUCCGUUGGAAACCCAGGCUGGCCUUGAAUUGAAGCAAUCUUCCUGCCUCAGCUUGCAAAGCGCUGGGAUUACAGCUAUGUGUCAUCAUGCCUGGCGGCAGUCUUUGCAUUCUUGAUAAAAGAAUUCAGUGAAGAUACAGACAAGUGUUGUGAAAGAAAGGCAGAAUUUAUUGUAAAGUGAAGCAGUUCAUGGUGAAAGUACACCCCCAAGGGAAAGGGCAUCGAGGGCCCAGAUGGCAGUUGGGCUGAAUGAAAGUUUAAAUUUUAUUUCCAUAAUUUUGUUAGAAUAUUCUGCCUUUGCUGGUCUAUUCAAUUCUCAUUCGUCCUUUCAAAGACCCACUGAGGCUGCCCGCUGCUGCUGAAGCUUAACGCACUUGGCUUGGUGUGCAAAGUCCUAACAGCCUUAGCUGGUUCAGGCCUGACCUACCUUUGCAGUCCCGUUUCACUCUUUUUGAGCCCAACACUUAGGUUAAAAGGGAUGGACGGCAGUGCUCGGCUGAAUAAAAGCUCACUGUAGGGGCUUCUGCUGUUCUUGGACCUGGAAGCUGACCUCAAAUUCACUUUCUUUUUAAUCAGAACAUUUAUUGGUAUAUUUUAGGUAUACAUAAUGAUAACACUUAUCAUAGGGAACUUGCACCUGUACAUGAUAUAUCCUGACACUUAAAUUCACCUUCUUGUCUAAGAUUUUUCUUUUCUCUCUUUCUCCUUCCUUCCUUCUUCUGUGAGGUUGAACCUAGGGCCUUCCACAUGCUAGGUAAAUGCU
Molecule: long non-coding RNA, 2425 nt
Filed under: Heterocephalus glaber (naked mole-rat)
Lineage: Eukaryota; Metazoa; Chordata; Mammalia; Rodentia; Bathyergidae
Description: lncRNA (ENSHGLG00100041023.1)
Source: RNAcentral